Molecule: ribosomal RNA, 155 nt
Filed under: Rhizoctonia solani
Lineage: Eukaryota; Fungi; Basidiomycota; Agaricomycetes; Cantharellales; Ceratobasidiaceae
Description: 5.8S ribosomal RNA
Rfam family: 5.8S ribosomal RNA
About the family: 5.8S ribosomal RNA (5.8S rRNA) is a component of the large subunit of the eukaryotic ribosome. It is transcribed by RNA polymerase I as part of the 45S precursor that also contains 18S and 28S rRNA.
Source: RNAcentral
AAGUUUCAACAACGGAUCUCUUGGCUCUCGCAUCGAUGAAGAACGCAGCGAAAUGCGAUAAGUAAUGUGAAUUGCAGAAUUCAGUGAAUCAUCGAAUCUUUGAACGCACCUUGCGCUCCUUGGGAUUCCUUGGAGCAUGCCUGUUUGAGUAUCAU